Molecule: long non-coding RNA, 729 nt
Organism: Scylla paramamosain (green mud crab)
Lineage: Eukaryota; Metazoa; Arthropoda; Malacostraca; Decapoda; Portunidae
Exons: 2
Source: RefSeq, a predicted model, not a curated record
AGUGUACCUAUGUUGUCUGGUGUGCAUUACAAUAGACGCUGAAUUAGUAAGCUAGAUUAAAGGGUGAAAAGCGGCAUAUCAACAAUCCGAGGUGUAAGGGGCGCGGCUCGUUUUCUUUAACAUCGUUCUCUCCUCUAUCCCAGCAUGGGCCUCCUCUCAGCGAGGGCACAGCCGGUCUCAUCAGUGCCACGGUCAUUACCAUGUCGUCCUUGAAUGCUGCCAGAACUUGUGUUGAGGCUCCAAGUUUGUCUCUGAUCCUAAAUUACAAGUUGAAGGAUAUAUUGAUUCUAAAACUUUCUCCUCCGGGCAGAAGAAGAAGAAGAAGAAGAAGAAGAAGAUGAAGAAGAAGAAGAAGAAGAAGAAAGAGAAACAAAUAUAUACUGUUCAAGUUCUUUUUAGCCCCAAAGCGCUUCACCCUUCGCCUCUUGUAUUGAUUUCGGAUUAAUAGUCUGUUUUUAUACCAAGUGCCUGACCUUAACAAACCUACUCCUUACUUCUUCUUGGAGUAUGAUUCACGCUGCAACCUGUAACACGUGAUCCCUCCUGGUUAUAUUUGUCUUCCUUCGCGUUCAUCCUUAUGCCAUUGACUUUCUUUGAAUAGACUCCCAAUUACGUGUUGCAUCUUGCCUUCCAGCUGGUAAUACUGUGCUGUCGGCGGCAUGUCUGAGGUCGCUGUGAUGUUUUCUGUUUUGCUCGAGGAAAGAGUGGCAAAUAAACUGAUAGAAAUGU